UCAUCCACAUUCAUCCCAUUUAAUUCUCUACCAAGGUCAAGAAGAAGGCUAGGGUUCCAAAGCUUCAAGCCUUUUAUUCAUCCAUUGAUUUUAGGCUUUGAUUAGAAAGGUACGUAGGGUGUCAACAAUGAGUUUCAUUCAUCCAUUGAGCCCCAAGAUUUCUUAAUUCUCCAAUUCAAAUUUCAAUCAAAUUUUUUAGGUUUUUAUUCAAUUCUUCAUGAGUUCUAAUUGUGUUCAUUCAAUUGUUUAAUUUGGAUCUUAUUAUGAUUAUUUUAACUCAACUACAUGCUUCCAAUUGAUUUCACAUUAAUUCAUGCAUUAUUCUUGAUUUUUUCCCCUAUGAACCCUAAAAGAUAUGAAUUUUUAAAGAAGCUUGAAUCUAUGAUUAAGUUUUCAUAAAAAAAUAUGCAUAUUUUAUGAAAAAGUGUUUUAUGUUCUAGGUUGCUCUAAGAUGAGCAUCAAUUAAUUGUGAAAUGUUUUCUUACAUUAAGAAAACAUGAUUAGUGAAAUGUCUUUUUACACAUAAUUUGAGGAGCUACUCUAUGACGUUUUAAGCUUGGAUUAAUAACUUAAUUGUGUUUUUUCAUGUAUAAUGAUAUAUUUAUAUAUAUGACUAUUCCAUUGGGAUUUAACUUAGCAUCGAGAGAACUUUGACGAGAAGGCUCAAAUAGGAUAGUCUCUAGUAGCAAUCUCUAGUUCCAAACUAUCUGCCCCGUGGGAUUGUCUUAAAUGAACUACCUAAUGGGUCCACAUAUAGCAUAUGAUAUGAUAAUGAGUUUUACACUGGCAAGUAGACUCUCCCUUCUUGAUGUGGGAGUUACAUCAGAUUUCAUAUUAUAGCUUGCACGAUCCAUUUGUCUGUUAAAGCUAAUAUUCCACAAAAUGAACUAGUUGUUCUUAAAGAAUUUAUGAAGCAUUUCUUAUGAUUUUAAGAUGUAUUGAUCAUGUUCAUGAUUUACGAUUCUUCUUUUAAAAGAUUUUAUUAUAUUUAGCUUGGUCAUGCAUAUCAUGUUUUUGAUUGUGUCCUCUGGUGAUCAUGUUUCAUGUUUUAUUGCAUAUCCCUCAUACUUAGUACAUUCCAUGUACUAAUGCAUAAUUGUGUCUACAUUAUUUAACUAAUGCAGGGUCGACGAUCUUCCUCCUCCCUCUUGUGGCUAGUAAGGCUGGCUAUUGGACAGGAUCGGGUCAACUGGACCGGUUUUACCAAAACCGGUACCGGUAUCAGAUUUUUCUUAUCGAAUUUUCUUACCGGUACCGUAUCUUACAAGAUUGAAUUUACCGAAAAAUCCAACAUGUUCCGCCCGGUCGUUAGUAACCGGUUAGGAACCGGGUCUUAUAUACCGGUUCAUCCGGU
RNAcentral lists this long non-coding RNA (1354 nucleotides) under Solanum lycopersicum (tomato). RNAcentral's name for it is "long non-coding RNA (SLYC_LNC000935)". Lineage: Eukaryota; Viridiplantae; Streptophyta; Magnoliopsida; Solanales; Solanaceae. The record is from RNAcentral.